GGUAGAGCAUGCUGAGAGAGGGAGGAGGGAGCAGGGGGCUGAGCUGAUCCCACGUGUGACGCUUUCAUUCCCGGCUCAGUAAUAUUCUCAUAGCGGGGCUUUGCAUAUCUCCUGCCGUAUCUGUGUGUGUCUGUCACUGUUACUGUAGUCCCAGCCUAUAGUUUGAAAUAGAUAUGGAAGGAGACGGGAGUCAAGCCACAUCCGGAAGCCUAAAUGAUUCACAACAUGACCCGGGUAAAAUGUUUAUCGGUGGCCUCAGCUGGCAAACCUCACCAGACAGCCUUAGAGACUAUUUUAGUAAAUUCGGAGAAAUAAGAGAAUGUAUGGUGAUGAGAGACCCCACGACAAAACGCUCAAGAGGAUUUGGGUUUGUUACGUUUACAGAUGCUGCCAGUGUAGAUAAAGUCUUAGCUCAACAACACCACGAAUUAGACUCAAAGACGAUUGAUCCUAAGGUUGCCUUUCCACGUCGCGCCCAGCCUAAGAUGGUCACAAGAACAAAGAAAAUAUUUGUGGGUGGCUUGUCAGCCAAUACAGUAGUGGAAGAUGUGAAGCAGUAUUUUGAACAGUUUGGGAAGGUUGAUGAUGCCAUGCUAAUGUUUGAUAAGACUACUAACAGACAUAGAGGAUUUGGCUUCAUAACUUUUGAAAGUGAAGACAUCGUAGAGAAAGUCUGUGAAAUUCAUUUUCAUGAAAUCAAUAACAAAAUGGUAGAAUGUAAGAAGGCCCAGCCCAAGGAGGUGAUGUUCCCACCAGGUACACGAGGGCGAGCCAGGGGUCUGCCCUACACCAUGGAUGCCUUCAUGCUGGGGAUGGGCAUGCUGAGCUACCCUAAUAUUGUGGCAACGUAUGGCCGCGGAUACACUGGAUUUGCACCCAGCUACAGCUACCAGUUCCCUGGCUUCCCAGCGACGGCAUACGGACCGGUGGCGGCAGCGGCGGUAGCAGCAGCGCGUGGCUCAGGUAGGGGGGCCCGUGGAAGAGGCGGCUACUUGGCGUACCCACAGAGCACAGGGCCAGGCCUCCCCGAUUAUGGGUUUUACUCUACGCCCAGUGACCAGAGGGGGGGGCCCUGCUCCUUUGCUGACUAUGGCUCCCUGGGGCCCCAAGCGGCUCAGAUGCUGCACAGUGAGCAUGCCACCUCCGCCUGCAACUCCCCCCUCCAGCACCUACACAGCCCGGAUCAAUUUAAGAACCCAGGCGCCAACCCAUCAAGGCCCGGAGGUUUCCCUGGUGCUAACAGUCCAGGUCCUGUUGCUGACCUGUACGGACCUAGCAGCCAGGAUUCAGCUGUGGGCAACUACAUCAGUGCUGCUAGCCCUCAGCCUGGCUCUGGGUUUGGCCCCAGCAUCACAGGCCCGUUGAUUGCGACAGCUUUUACAAAUGGAUACCAUUGAACAGGUGGCCGGUUGCCAUCUCAUCAGAGAUGACAGAGCUGGUAGUAAAGGAGUAUAACUGGUGGCCCAGGAAAGACAGGACGAAGUUUCUAAUUGGCUUUGUGUGCAGGUGAUGCUAUCCAACUUCAAGCACUACAGUGUCACCCAGGCAAAAAGAAUGAAAGUCGGAACCAUAUGAAGAAGAAAAGAAAAACGUUAGUCAUCUCAGAAAAAUAACAACUGCUGUACUAUAAUCCAAACCUCCUAUAACUUUACAACCUGGUUUGGUAUGAUGUUUCAUUCACCAAUUUCCUUCCUCUGUUAGCUUUUGUUUUGAUUCGUUUUUAGAGAGUCAUUUUAGUUUUAAUCUUAAUUUUGUGUCAUUUGAUUUGAUCUUAUAGUAUAUAUUUGUGUAAAUGGAUUUUGUUUGAAGUGCGGGGGUCAUAGCCAAGAAUAUCUGCAAGUUAUGUCUUCAUCUUUGUGGUGUAAAGGAGAAAUGAUUGGAUGUUCCAAUCAGUCUUUCCACAAAAAUAAAAGAAGCUCAGUGUGGAGAGACUCGGAGGAAAAAAAAAAAUUAAAUUUUAAGGAAAAUUUAAAGAGGGUAUCUAAGUAAUAAAUCUUAGUAGCUGUUUUCUUUCUUGUGAUGUCUCAUUGUUAGCCAUAAUUACCUAUUUUUGGGCAAUACAAAGAGGACUCCAAUAUUUUUAUGGUCCUUUUUUAUAAGUGUUGUUUUUGUUGUUUAGAAAUAAAUAUAUAUGGUAUAACAAAUUUCAUAUAACUACAUUGUGAAUUCAAACUUGAGAAAAAGAAAUGUAGCUGUACAUAUUAUUCCAGUCACUGCAUAUAACCAACUCAGUGAGAGAAUAGCAUAUUUUUGUGAUGGUGUGUCAAAAGAACAUGUUAUAGCGUGUGAAUAGAAGAAAAAGCUGUAAACAGUUAUUAUUAUACUUUUUCUGCUGGAAGACAGUAUAAAUGACCCCAGAGACAAACAGAACACACUUGCUCUGUAAAUACUGAAGCUGAAUAAUUUUACAAGUGUCAUACCAGCAAAUUUACAAACGGUGAGUUAGUUCAACACAGUUUUAAGAAAUAAAAAAAAAGAGCCUGAUUGGUAUCUUUUGUCUAACUGUUAAGAUAUCAGUAUCAUUUCAAAGAGAGAGAGAGA
RNA transcript from Perca flavescens (yellow perch), 2541 nucleotides. It is a transcript of the gene named RNA-binding protein Musashi homolog 2, with no coding region annotated. The transcript has 16 exons. NCBI's taxonomy places the organism in Eukaryota, Metazoa, Chordata, Actinopteri, Perciformes, Percidae. The record is from RefSeq and is a predicted model, not a curated record.